Hippocampus zosterae (dwarf seahorse) is the source of this 345-nucleotide long non-coding RNA. RefSeq lists it as uncharacterized. The transcript has 2 exons. NCBI's taxonomy places the organism in Eukaryota, Metazoa, Chordata, Actinopteri, Syngnathiformes, Syngnathidae. The record is from RefSeq and is a predicted model, not a curated record.
CGCCGCCAUUGAAAGAAUGCGGCGAGACGAGUGACAUGCCACCCUCAAACCAUCCAACCGUCGCUGCCAACCGGAAGAUUCCAGAAUAAAAUUACCGCCGGUGAAAAACGAACCUGACGAGUGACAAACUGCACGUAGCUACAAAUGCGAUCAAAAGACAUUUUUGGGGCGUAGGGGCGGGUGAGGGGGGGGGCAGAAUUCAGCAGAUUAGUCUCAGCUUUUCAUCAGGUCACGGAAUGCAAACAAACGGAAAAAUUUGAAGGUUCGGGGACCGGUUCGGCUGGAGUUACCUGUUGCACAUUCACAUGCAGAAGUGUAGAUCGUUUGGGAGCUUUUGUUCACAUC